Molecule: small nucleolar RNA, 225 nt
Filed under: Sorex araneus (European shrew)
Lineage: Eukaryota; Metazoa; Chordata; Mammalia; Eulipotyphla; Soricidae
Description: Small nucleolar RNA U3 (ENSSARG00000016655.1)
Rfam family: Small nucleolar RNA U3
About the family: Small nucleolar RNAs (snoRNAs) are involved in the processing and modification of rRNA in the nucleolus. There are two main classes of snoRNAs: the box C/D class, and the box H/ACA class.
Source: RNAcentral
AAGACUAUACCUUUCAGGGAUAAUUUUUAUAGUUCAUUAGUAGAGAAGUUUCUCUGACCGUGUAGAGCCCCCAAAACCACGAGGGAGGAGCCAGAGCAUCCUCUCCUGAGUGUGAAGCCGGGUUCUAGGUAAUGGCUUUCCGCAAAUGCCUUUUACCACUGAUCAUUUUCAUAGUUCUUCUCCUAUCCUGGGAAAAGGAAGAGUGAAAGGGUGCAGUCUGAGUGG